Carassius carassius (crucian carp) is the source of this 490-nucleotide long non-coding RNA. RefSeq lists it as uncharacterized. Lineage: Eukaryota; Metazoa; Chordata; Actinopteri; Cypriniformes; Cyprinidae. The transcript has 2 exons. The record is from RefSeq and is a predicted model, not a curated record.
UUUGUGCUUCAUACUUUUGUUUGGAGUUAUUAUAGGGCAUAAUGUACAUAAUUAAUUCUAGUGGGAACCGUUCAUGGAGAAUAUUGUCUUAUAUGGGGCACAUAUUGGUGACGCACAUGAUAACCUCGUGCGAUUGGCCUACAGCGCCAUCUUUAGAAGCACAUAUGCUGCUGACAGGGUCGGUUGUGCUUUCUCACGCUCUUCAAAAGAGAGCGCUGGUAAGGACAUUCCUCCAAGUGUAAAUGAUGUCAUCGAUUAAUUUCAUUAGAUAAAUAAUGUUUAAGUGUAAUGUAAGACCGUGAUGUCAUCAAAUGUAAAGCAAUUUAUUGCAUUUUGAACAUUUUACCGAGAUUGGUUUUGCUUACUAGCGUUCUCCAUGCUAUACGGGCAGACUGAAGGGGAGAGAGGUGUGUAUCCCAAAAAAGUUUAAUUGUGCUCUGUGUGUUUCUGCAGACCUGCUUUUUGUAGAAUAAAACAUCCUGAGACCUCC